Molecule: transfer RNA, 77 nt
Filed under: Actinomycetes bacterium
Lineage: Bacteria; Bacillati; Actinomycetota; Actinomycetes
Description: Actinobacteria bacterium tRNA-Thr
Rfam family: tRNA
About the family: Transfer RNA (tRNA) molecules are approximately 80 nucleotides in length. Their secondary structure includes four short double-helical elements and three loops (D, anti-codon, and T loops).
Source: RNAcentral
GCCGGGUUAGCUCAGUUGGCUAGAGCAUCUGUCUUGUAAACAGAAGGUCGUCGGUUCGAAUCCGACACCCGGCUCCG